CGUGGGUAACCUGCCUCAUACAGGGGGAUAGCAGCUGGAAACGGCUGAUAAAACCGCAUAAGCGCACAGCAUCGCAUGAUGCAGUGUGAAAAACUCCGGUGGUAUGAGAUGGACCCGCGUCUGAUUAGCUAGUUGGUGAGGUAACGGCCCACCAAGGCGACGAUCAGUAGCCGGCCUGAGAGGGUGACCGGCCACAUUGGGACUGAGACACGGCCCAG
This 218-nucleotide ribosomal RNA is filed under the name uncultured bacterium. RNAcentral describes it as "partial 16S ribosomal RNA". It matches the Rfam family "Bacterial small subunit ribosomal RNA", at positions 116 to 334 of the family's 1533-position model. The record is from RNAcentral.